GACGAACGCUGGCGGCGUGCUUAACACAUGCAAGUCGAACGGAAAGGCCCUGCUUUUGUGGGGUGCUCGAGUGGCGAACGGGUGAGUAACACGUGAGUAACCUGCCCUUGACUUUGGGAUAACUUCAGGAAACUGGGGCUAAUACCGGAUAGGAGCUCCUGCUGCAUGGUGGGGGUUGGAAAGUUUCGGCGGUUGGGGAUGGACUCGCGGCUUAUCAGCUUGUUGGUGGGGUAGUGGCUUACCAAGGCUUUGACGGGUAGCCGGCCUGAGAGGGUGACCGGCCAAAUUGGGACUGAGAUACGGCCCAGACUCCUACGGGAGGAAGCAGUGGGGAAUAUUGCACAAUGGGCGGAAGCCUGAUGCAGCAACGCCGCGUGCGGGAUGACGGCCUUCGGGUUGUAACCCGCUUUCGCCUGUGACGAAGCGUGAGUGACGGUAAUGGGUAAAGAAGCACCGGCUAACUACGUG
RNAcentral lists this ribosomal RNA (468 nucleotides) under uncultured bacterium. RNAcentral describes it as "partial 16S ribosomal RNA". It matches the Rfam family "Bacterial small subunit ribosomal RNA", at positions 28 to 507 of the family's 1533-position model. The record is from RNAcentral.